GACGAACGCUGGCGGCGUGCUUAACACAUGCCAGUCGAACGGAAAGGCCCUGCUUUUGUGGGGUGCUCGAGUGGCGAACGGGUGAGUAACACGUGAGUAACCUGCCCUUGACUUUGGGAUAACUUCAGGAAACUGGGGCUAAUACCGGAUAGGAGCUCCUGCUGCAUGGUGGGGGUUGGAAAGUUUCGGCGGUUGGGGAGGGACUCGCGGCUUAUCAGCUUGUUGGUGGGGUAGUGGCUUACCAAGGCUUUGACGGGUAGCCGGCCUGAGAGGGUGACCGGCCACAUUGGGACUGAGAUACGGCCCAGACUCCUACGGGAGGCAGCAGUGGGGAAUAUUGCACAAUGGGCGGAAGCCUGAUGCAGCAACGCCGCGUGCGGGAUGACGGCCUUCGGGUUGUAAACCGCUUUCGCCUGUGACGAAGCGUGAGUGACGGUAAUGGGUAAAGAAGCACCGGCUAACUACGUG
This 468-nucleotide ribosomal RNA is filed under the name uncultured bacterium. Its description in RNAcentral is "partial 16S ribosomal RNA". It matches the Rfam family "Bacterial small subunit ribosomal RNA", at positions 28 to 507 of the family's 1533-position model. The record is from RNAcentral.